CGGGGUGUAGCUUAGCCUGGUAGAGCGCCUGGUUUGGGACCAGGAGGUCGCAGGUUCGAAUCCUGUCGCCCCGACCA
This 77-nucleotide transfer RNA is filed under the name bacterium. RNAcentral's name for it is "tRNA-Pro". It matches the Rfam family "tRNA". Rfam says of the family: Transfer RNA (tRNA) molecules are approximately 80 nucleotides in length. Their secondary structure includes four short double-helical elements and three loops (D, anti-codon, and T loops). The record is from RNAcentral. RNAcentral also lists the same sequence under 13 other names.